CUGCUCCUGAGACAAGGCAAUACCUGAGCAGACUCCCAGCUUUUUUCCUUCGGGUGUUUAGAAAUUCCCUUUGAUCAUUUGCCAUGGAAGCCAUGCAGCUCAUGGUGAGGCUACAUGAACAAUGGAAUGCUGAAGUGGGAGACUGGAUUGGCAGCCACACAAAGAAACGCUCGGCUCUGAAGAUGUAAUGAACCAGUUGAUAUAUUCUUGACAAAUUUUGAAAUAAACUUUUGGAAUUUUU
Taeniopygia guttata (zebra finch) is the source of this 241-nucleotide non-coding RNA. Lineage: Eukaryota; Metazoa; Chordata; Aves; Passeriformes; Estrildidae. The record is from RefSeq and is a predicted model, not a curated record.